UUAAUAAUAAUUAAAAAAUUUUUUGUUGAGAUAAAGAAGAUGAACCCAGGAACAAAGAAUUAUUGAGAACGUACAUUGCUGCUGAAGAAGUGUUGAUCUUGUUUUUGUACCAAGUUUGGAGCAUUGCUCGUGUAAGUAAUGAAGUUCUUUUAAGAAGUUUUUUUUAUGUCAUAUUAGGAUCUUGAUUGUGUUCGAACUCCAUUUUUUUAUCAGAAUAUUUGCAAAAUCUAUAUUUGUUUGUUUAAAAUAGUCAAAUGAUAAUUGGUAUUUAGGUUUAUAAAUGUGUAGUAUCGACAUUCCAUUUGUUUUUUAUAUGUAUAGUAUUUUUCAGUUGCAUUUAAUGUGUGUCUCCUGAAUUUAUGAUGCAGGUGGGUUAUGGAUAUUCCCGUAUUUACCAUGGUCGGUGAGUGGAAAUGCAAAGAAGGAGAAUGGAAAUUUGAACCUGAGGAAGGCAUCUUUGGUCGUUAUGUACGCGUUCAGGAAACCAUGACGUACACGGACUUUGUCCGUACACUCCGAGAGGCUUUCAGUUUGAAGUCCACCGAGAUCAAUCCCAUAAUUAGCUACUGGAUGCCGGGUGAAAUGUCAGUGCUGAUAGAUACUAAACGCCCUCCUGUAUACAUUGACAGUCAGAUGGGUCUCGAGACGUUUUUUUUGGUUCGUGGUGGGUAUCUUUCUCUCAACUUGUUCGUCUCUUUCAAUAAUACAGUGAAGGCGUUCGGGAAUACUGUCUCUAGGUCUCAUGGUGAAGUUUCUGAAAGUGACCGUGUGUUUGAUAGUGCUACAAAUGUUGAUGAAAAUAAUGAGGAUGCAGAGGAGCAAGCCGAUGUUGAAGACGAUACAACAGAAGAGGAUGAAUUGGAGGAGGGCAACGAAGAUGAUGAUGGGUGUGAUGAUUAUCUUGGUGUGGAUGGAUCUAUUGGGGGAAGUACCCUGUAUCCUACCACAGACGGUAGUGAAGGUAUUGGCGAAGAAUACGAUUACAACAAGUGGAACGAUGUAAUAGUAGAAGAAUAUGUACAAGGAAAUCUUGAGGAAGACGUCAGUCUCACUCAACAGACUGCUCAACAUCCAGGGAAAUUCAGUCGUUUAUUGGAAACGUGUACGUACACGGGUGUUAGUGUACCUGGCGGAGAUACAGGGGAAUUCAGUCGUCUCUUGGAAACGUGUACGUACACUGGUCUUAGUGUACCUGGCGAAGAAACAAUCUCUCAAUUGGGUUACGGUACACGCUGCGAAGGGCAAAGGGAUUCCAAUCUUAUUUGUAUAGACGAAGUCACCGGGGAUGAAGUGAUCGAAGGUAUUGGAGCUUCCUCAACUGGGACACAAAAUGAUAAUGGGGUAGUUACCGCAGCUGAGGCUUACCAAGUGUAUAAUGAAUUUCCUAAGUUACAUGGUGGCGAGUUGGCGAAUCUCGGUAACGAUGUUGCUCCUGUGUUCGAUGACUUACUCAAUUUUCGAGCUGAUGAGACACAGGUUGAAAUCAGCACCACAGGCGAAACUUUGUUUGUUGGAAGUGUUUUUAAGAAUAGAAAAGUCCUGCAACAAACAAUGUCUCUUCAAGCGAUAAAGCAAUGCUUUUGCUUCAAGCAACCUAAGUCAUGUCCUAAAACAUUGAAAAUGGUGUGCGUUGAUGAGACUUGUCCAUGGCAAUUGACUGCUCGCGUCGUGAAGGAUUCAGAAAGUUUCAAAAUCACUUCGUAUGCUACGACACAUACGUGUAACAUCGACUCUCGGAAGUACUACAAUAAACAUGCUAAUUAUAAGCUCCUCGGAGAAGUUGUGAGGAGCAGAUACAGUUCUACGCAGGGUGGGCCGCGAGCUGUCGACUUACCACAACUGCUCCUAAAGGAUCUGAAUGUGCGUAUUUCAUAUUCUACCGCUUGGAGAGCAAAAGAGGUUGCAGUGGAAAAUGUACGGGGGGAUGAGAUAGCAAAUUACAGGUUUUUGCCGACCUAUCUGUAUCUUCUCCAAUUAGCUAAUCCGGGUACAAUAACACACCUACACUAUACACCAGAAGAUGAUGGUAAGCAGCGCUUCAAGUAUGUCUUUGUCUCUCUUGGCGCUUCUAUCAAAGGUCUGAUAUAUAUGAGGAAGGUAGUUGUGGUAGAUGGAACGCAGCUAGUCGGACCUUACAAAGGAUGUCUCCUUAUUGCAUGUGCCCAAGAUGGGAACUUCCAAAUAUUCCCAAUAGCUUUUGGUGUUGUUGAUGGUGAGACCGAUGCUUCUUGGGCAUGGUUUUUUGAAAAGUUAGCUGAGAUUGUUCCAGACAGUGACGAUUUAAUGAUUGUCUCGGACAGACAUUCAUCUAUAUACAAAGGCCUAAGUGUUGUUUACCCGAGAGCGCAUCAUGGAGCAUGUGCUGUUCACCUUGAGCGAAACCUCUCCACCUAUUAUGGUAAGUUUGGUGUGUCUGCUUUAUUUUUCAGCGCUGCCAAAGCUUAUAGGGUCAGGGAUUUCGAGAAAUAUUUUGAACUGUUAAGGGAAAAGAGUGCUAAAUGCGCAAAAUACCUAGAGGACAUAGGAUUUGAGCAUUGGACAAGAGCUCACUGUAGAGGAGAACGCUACAAUAUCAUGUCGAGCAACAACUCUGAGUCCAUGAAUCAUGUGUUAACAAAAGCAAAAACUUAUCCGAUUGUUUACAUGAUCGAGUUCAUUCGGGAUGUCCUAAUGCGAUGGUUCGCAUCGAGGAGAAAGAAAGUUGCUAGGUGCAAAUCUUCUGUGACACCUGAGGUUGAUGAGAGAUUUCUACAAGAGUUGCCUGCGUCAGGUAAAUACGCUGUGAAGAUGUCUGGACCGUGGAGCUAUCAAGUGACAAGUAAAUCCGGGGAGCAUUUUCAUGUCGUUCUGGACCAGUGUACAUGUACGUGUCUUAGGUACACCAAGUUAAGAAUCCCAUGUGAACACGCUCUAGCAGCUGCAAUCGAGCAUGGAAUUGAUCCGAAGUCUUGUGUCGGAUGGUGGUAUGGCCUUCAAACGUUUUCUGAUUCUUUCCAAGAACCAAUUCUACCUAUCGCGGAUCCGAAAGAUGUUGUCAUCCCACAACAUAUAGUGGAUUUGAUACUCAUUCCUCCAUACAGUAGACGGCCACCAGGAAGACCACUGUCCAAAAGGAUCCCAUCUAGAGGUGAAAACCGGGUAUGUACUAACAUCGUUCAUUCAUCUACUUGUAUUUUGAGUAUUACCAUGCGGAGAUUUGUAACUUCCUGUCUUUGUCACUUCAGAAAAAGAGACAGAAAAGACUUUUACCAAAUCAGUGCUCACGCUGUCGACAAGCAGGUCAUAACAAGAAGACGUGCAAAAAUCCAAUCUAGUUCCGGUGACAAGUUUCUGAGCCGGCCAAUAUAGUGUACGCUUCUGUGUUUUCUCGGUGUACGUAAGUUUAUAUAUAAUCCACCUGUAACUAUGUACGUUGUGUACGUACGUUUAAACUCUACGUUCGUAUAACUAUGAACGUUUUUGUCUGUGUACGUGUUAAAGUUCAUGUAAUAAGGGUACACAGAGGUGGUUGCUCAAUAUUUUGAGUAAUUUGAAAUAAGUUUUUUGAAAAUCUAACUUAUUCCCCCUCUUAAAUGAACGGAGUUGGAGACAUGGUUGGGUAUAUUGUGGUUGUGUUGGUAUUUCAUGGAAAGGACGUAACUGUUGCUGUUUAUUGUCAAAUCAACGUUAUGAUUACCCUAUAUGACGGUUACCAGGCUAUUACCAAAAAUUUGAAUCAAGUGUAGUUGUAACCGCAUUAAUAACUGUAGCCGUUCCAGAUUUCCUCUAUUUAAGUCUCCUCCCUUCCUUAAUUUUAUCCACAAUCCUCAUUCUAAACCCAUUUCUUGUGCCGGCAGUUAUAUCAUUCACAAAAAAAAAAUUUAGUCUUUCGAAUCGAUUGUUCUUGCUAUCCGUGAGAUGGAGGGGUUUCAUACGGUCUCAGAAUUGUGUCCUCUGAUCACUGGGUGGCGAAUUUAUGUCUUUGUCGUGAGGGUCUUCAAGAAGGUUAUAUCGCCCAACGUCUUCGAACUCGGCCUUAUCCUGGCAGAUUACGAGGUUAUUUCCGUUAAAUCAUUAUGUGUUUUUCUCGUUCAUUCGCUUAACUUAUAUAUUAAACUCUCUACUAUCAUGUUCUGUAUGUAAAGAAUAACCGUAUUGAGGCCACCGUUGAUCGUCGCCUUGCUCCGUUUUACGAAGACCGAUUCGUUGAAAAUGAGUGGAAGACGAUCACCUCUUUCUUGGUCCGUAAGUCAACUGACUUAGUCAGAGCAACAAAGCAUGAAUACGGCAUACUGUUUAUGGAUCGGACCGUCGUCGUUCAUGCCCCACCGAGAUCACCACCAGUUCCAGAUUUCGAUUUCACUCCCUUCGACUACAUUUUGGAUAAAUCUGCUUACAAGAACGUUUUAGUCGGUGAGGAGGAAUAACUCUGACGCUUCAUUUAUUACAUUUUUGAAAAUGUUUGUUUAUUAUCUUUGUUUCUCCAUCAUCUAGAUGUCAUUGGAGCGUUGGUUGAUGUUGGCGCAUUGACUACAGACUAUUACGGUCUCAAACUGAGUUUCAAGUUAAAAGAUAGAUAGUAAGUGUUCUUUUCAUUUGUUUUAUUUACAAUGUCACUCUAAACGCUAACAGUCCUUAUUUCUAACGUAGCAAUGAAGUCUUGAAGUGCGAAGCCCGCAAUCAACAGGCGGAGUACUUGAAUGGUUACUUUUAGAGUUUGGGUAAGGGAAAUUUUGUUGUCGCACUUAGCUUUUGGCGUCUAACCGAACUGUCUAACCCGAAGCUUGAGAGCCAUGGUGCUAUUUCAAAGGUGGUUGCCAAUCCGGACAGAGAAGAAGUUGCGGAUAUCUCGAUGGUGGUUUUUUAGCUAGAGGGAAUGAACCAUUAUUCUCCGUUUUAAUAUAAUAUAAGACUACAUUUCAAUUAAGUUUUCUUUCCCAGUUGUUGUUGUUGUUGUUUCCAUAAGAACCAAACUACAUUUCAAUCGUUGUUGUUUUUUGUUUCCGUUUAAAUUUUAAUCUAAUUUGUUGUUUUAUGUACGUGCCUUGUUUUAUUGUUCAAAUCCUCUCGCAAUGUACGUAUAGUUUCUGGUGUACGCUAUCGUGUACGUAUAUUAGUUUUGGUGCCUUCAACAUCAAAAACUGUUAGAUUUAUACUUAUGUUGUGUACGCAAUUUCCCAAUGUACGAUAAACGAAGUGCACAGUACCGGCCUCCCGCUUGCCGUGCUCGUAGAUGUCAACGGAGUAUUUCUGACGGUAGAAGACCAUAUCUGCUUCUCGAAUGGUUGCCAGAUCCGAAAAAGGGUGUCCAAACGCAAGCAACUCCAGGAACUUCAUCGUGUAUGGCCCGCAAUCUCCUGUAGUUGGGUUUUGAGCAACGGUAGGACAACGCACAUACUCAAAAGGUUCAACUGAGUACGGAGAAAUCAAUACAUCCUGGCACAUCGCUCUGACUAAGUACGGCAUCAUUUCGCAAAUAGGAGUCAUUCUCGCCUUCACAGCCGACUCCCGCGUGUACGAUAUUAAAGCGUCAUACACAGUUAUUAGCCGUUCAUUAAGGUUGAUUCCCAAAGCAACCCAAUGUUCACUCUUCCAGUUCAUCGGAGCAUACACAACAUCGACAUCCUUCAUCCACUUCAUAUUGGGUUCACGGUUUAUGUGAACUCCAUUAGCAAUGUCGGACAGUAAUUUACCCCAUUUGAACCCGUUCUUAUUAAUACACUUCUUGAAGUCGCCCACCCGCUUGGUAAGAAGAUGCGUCAGCAUCAUGUCCAAUACAAUACAUCUGUUUGCUAUCAUUUGUUCCCCGUUCUUGUGCCACAUCAACAUUGCCAUCAUUUCUAAAUGCUGAAAUGUUCAAAAAAUAUAUCAGUGUACGUACACUUCCACGAAAAAUUUAAUCAUCUAUGUACAAUUUAUAACAAGGAAUGUACGUAUAUAAAUGCAACGUACCGUACUUUCGACCCAUUCACCAAGUGUUAGAAGGUUCGCAAAAAAGUCGUUGGGCACUUUUCGAAACCCGAAAAGAGUGUGAAUCCUGUAAAAUCCAGAAGAAUAUUUGAUAACAACCUUAAAAAUGAUGAUUGAGGUAUUAAAUAAUCCAUUUUACUAUAAUGUACUUACACAGAGGGUCCUUUAAUGAUAUUGCUUAAUUCCUCUAUUUUUGAAGGGUCAACCACGUCCAGGGGGUUGUAUGAGACAUUUCCAGCCCUGAUAACAACCUCUAUCUGUUGAGCUGGUACAUCGGGCACCAAUACUGUUUUUGCCUUAAAACCAUGAGGAUGGGCAUCAUCCAGUUCAUAGACAAGUUGUUUCUUCACUUUCUUUGGGGACGAUUUUUUUUCUUCUUUUGCUUCGACAGCAGCAGCAUUGUCUGAUUCAUCCUGUUAACAAAUAUGAUUGUCAACAACAGUUUCAUACGUUUUCCUAUGUUUAAAAUAGGUACAUACAUUAUUUUUAGGAAUAUCGGUCUUGUCUGCUUCAUCUGACCCUGGGUUAGGAUCCUCAGUUUCUACAGACCCCUCGAUAAUACACGGCUCUUCCAUGACUACCUGUGCAAGUUAACGUACACAAGUAUAUAUAAUGUACACAUAUAAUCCUAUGUAUGCUAUUCCGAAAAUAGGAAUUGAAACACACAAAUUGUUACCUCCAAAUCAGUGGCUGCAGCUAAAUCACCAACGGCUUUGGUAUCCAACUCCCGUAUGACCUGCAUAAUAUAAAUUUUAUACAUUUGAACAGUAAAUAGUACAUUUUAUUUGUUGCAAGAGUUAGCUUACAUUGUUAACUACUUGAAAUGGUGACGGGGGAUCAUUGUGGGUCUUCUUAGGUAUUUCAACUUCCAUCACUGUCACUAAUUUGGAUUCUCCUGCCGCCUCAACCUGUAGAAUUUAGCAUCGGAAAGAAACUUUUUAGUAAUGUAUGAAACAAUAUAUAUGUACACAGAACAUAGUGACAAAAAUGUACGUACACUUGUGGCAGGUACGUGAGCUGUGUCUCCAUCAGAAGGCUCAUAAGUUUCUUCUGACUCGCUGCCAUUAGCUUCAGUCGAUGCACUGGCAUCUCUUGCUUCUUCCUGAAACAAAAAUAAUUUGCAAAGUCUUAUGGGCGUACACAUAUGGAAAAAGAACAAGUGACUAACACAUACCUGUGCAGAUGUUGAAGGUAAACCUGAUGGAUUGUCUACCAUCUCUAUGUCAGCAUCAGCUAUUUCAUCGGCCCCUGUAUGGGUACCAACUAAGCCAGGUUCAACAACAUCCUUUGGUCCAUUAUCCUGAAACAUAGGCUACCAUAGAGUUAAGCGUUAGAUAAGUGAAGAAAUUAAUGUAACAGUUAUGCAUAUAGUCAUGGAAAUCUGUAUAUAACGAUUACCAGAAGAUCUACCUCUGAAACUCUUGCAGACACAUUAGAUGGAACUUCUUCCAUCUGGGUGUCAACAGUAGCUUCUUCCACAGGCCUCUCUUCCUGUGUUACAAAGACAGUCCCAGACAUUGAACCUAAGCAGAUAGUCUUACCAACAACAACAUUUCCUCUAUCCUGAAACAUAGUUUAACUAACUUCUUAAGCGAAUAUGUACGUACACCAUUUAAACAGAUUGUUAAGAGUAUUAGUAGACGACAUACCAGAUGGGAUUGUGUGGAUCCAGCAUAAGGAACUAUUAAAAAUCCAGUGUCUAAUAUCUCUUCUUCAGCGGCAGAAGAAUUCAAUCCAUCAUUUGCAGUAAAAUCACUUUCAUUAUUAGCGCCAUCCUGUAUCGAACCAGACAGUACAGUUAUACAUAUGGAUUAUAAAAUAUUUAGCAAUGUACGUACAUGACUUACCUGUUCAUCAAUGAAUCCUUGCAUAUCUUCCUUAUUGGAAUCAGGUUCCUCAAUAGUGUCAACAGCAAAAGAAAAAUUUUUCUUCGGCUUUGAAGGUUUUCUUCUUCCGCCGAAAGCAGUGGUAUGUACUCCAGGGACAUCCAAAUCUUCCUCUUUGGAAUUACAGCCAACAGAAAGUGCAGGAGUGUCCACAUCAUGAGAAACACGAGUCAGCCUUGAAGACUUUCUCGUUCCAGUGCUUCCUUUUGUAGACAUCCUUCUCGAUGGCUUCUUCGCAGUAACCAGUGCCUUAUCCAUAGAAGUAGGUGGUUCCCGCGAAUCAUGGGAAUGUAUGGUUUGUUCUGGCCUUUUGCCUUUUGGAUCAAGGGCAGCACGUAUCUGGUCACGGACAAAGUCUUUCAUAUCUUCAUGCAUUUGAUACAUUUGGUCUUCCAGCUCCUUCAAAGACCUCCUCAUUUCAACAAUAAACCUCUCAGGCACAGGCUCUCCAAAACAAUCCUCAGCAGUCUCUUCUUUAUCACAGUCCAUUUCAGAUUUCUGUUUUUUCAUAGCAGGUUCUUUAGGGCUCGGGCCCGGUGCAUUUCGUUUCCUCUUAACAUCUACAAUAAACCAGUUGCUGCUAUUAAUUGGUUUUCUUCUAGGUGCAAUACCAAAAAAAUUUGUAAA
RNAcentral lists this small RNA (8462 nucleotides) under Arabidopsis thaliana (thale cress). RNAcentral describes it as "ATSL018360". Lineage: Eukaryota; Viridiplantae; Streptophyta; Magnoliopsida; Brassicales; Brassicaceae. The record is from RNAcentral.